UGAGUAACACGUAUCCAACCUGCCGUCUACUCUUGGACAGCCUUCUGAAAGGAAGAUUAAUCAAGAUGGCAUCAUGAGUCCGCAUGUUCACAUGAUUAAAGGUAUUCCGGUAGACGAUGGGGAUGCGUUCCAUUAGAUAGUAGGCGGGGUAACGGCCCACCUAGUCUUCGAUGGAUAGGGGUUCUGAGAGGAAGGUCCCCCACAUUGGAACUGAGACACGGUCCAA
Molecule: ribosomal RNA, 226 nt
Filed under: uncultured bacterium
Lineage: Bacteria
Description: partial 16S ribosomal RNA
Rfam family: Bacterial small subunit ribosomal RNA
Source: RNAcentral